CUGGGUUUGACAUGCAGGUGGUAGUUGGCGGAAACGUCGGCGACCUUCGGGAGCCUGCACAGGUGCUGCAUGGCUGUCGCCAGCUCGUGCCGUGAGGUGUUAAGUUAAGUCCUGUAACGAGCGCAACCCCCGGUAGUAGUUACACGUGCCUACUACGACUGCCCGUGACAAGCGGGAGGAAGGUGGGGAUGACGUCAAGUCAGCAUGGCCUUUAUAUCCAGGGCUACACACACGCUACAAUGGCCGGUACAAUGGGACGCCAAGGGGUAACCCGGAGCUAAUCCAGCAAAGCCGGUCUCAGUUCGGAUUGUGGGCUGCAACCCGCCCACAUGAAGUUGGAGUUGCUAGUAACCGCGCGUCAGCUAUAGUGCGGUGAAUA
RNAcentral lists this ribosomal RNA (379 nucleotides) under uncultured bacterium. RNAcentral's name for it is "bacterial SSU rRNA". It matches the Rfam family "Bacterial small subunit ribosomal RNA", at positions 975 to 1368 of the family's 1533-position model. The record is from RNAcentral.